Molecule: long non-coding RNA, 1451 nt
Organism: Austrofundulus limnaeus
Lineage: Eukaryota; Metazoa; Chordata; Actinopteri; Cyprinodontiformes; Rivulidae
Exons: 2
Source: RefSeq, a predicted model, not a curated record
UUGUUGACAAACUUGACACAGACUCUGUUCAGGGUUUAUCUUUUUAUUUCUCUACGUCUGUCUUCCCUCCAAACAUCUCUUUUUGCAUAACAGUAGUUCAGCAGCAGCGGGUAGAAAAGAAACGAUUCUUCGUUUUGUGUAAAAAUAUCUGGGCGCUCCUGGAACCCGAGCCGACCUCUCUUAGUGCAAAUGCUUCAAAUCAACGUUAGGCACACGAGACGCUUAAGUGCUGAUGGCGAGUUUCAAACAUUAUUCAGGAUUUCUCUGUUCGCAGGUUCAAACUAAACAACUAAAACCUACAGUCAGGAUUUAAUCUGAGCUCAAACACACGGAGAGAAACGUGUUUAAAAACACGACGUCUCAAAACAAAACUCUAAAAUGAAAAAGUGUUUCUUGAAAUAAAAACGUGCUGACCUGUCGUCUGUCAGGUAGUCACAGGACUGUUUGGAGCCACGGUGUGUAAGACAACAGGAACGUCCUGUUGGACAGACAUGUCCCUCACCUGGACCUGGGUCACCUGUGGGAGGGRCCUUCCUGUGGGUCCACCACCUGCAGGGUGGGGUACACACAAGUCCUGGUUUACAAAAGUCCAGAGAUUCGGGGUCUUCCUCGGGGACACCUGGACUGCCGGGAAUCAAACCUGCAACCAGAACUGCUGGUCCACAGCUGCCCAGUGRCAGAACCAACAUGGAGGAGGCUCGGUUCUGUUCUGGGUCUCUAAUCUGUGCAGGGUACUGUGGAAUCUCAAGACCAUCAAGGCCUUCUGGAGAAAAACGUGCAGCUCAGGUCUGGGGUCCUCAGACCAGGUAAAACCAGUCCACCUGGACCAGAACCAAACACUGGACAGUCCUGAAGUGGACCUUCUGAGUCAUGAUCCAAAUCCUGCUGAACAUCUGGAAGAGGAAACCUUUAGACCUGAGACACCUGGAGGAGAUGGUUCAGGUGAACCGGGACACCUGAGGACAGGUGAACCGGGACACCUGAGGACAGGUGAACCGGGACACCUGGGGUCAGGUGAACCGCGACACCUGAGGACAGGUGAACCGCGACACCUGAGGACAGGUGUUUGUUUGUUUAUUUAUUUAUUUAUUUAUUUUUUUUUUGUAAUUUGUUUCAGCUUUGAGUUAUUUUAACGACUUUUGUUUUUUUACUUUAUCUAAAAGGUAGGAAGUAACUGAUCCAGGUGUGUGUUCAGGUGUGUUCAGGUGUGUGUAGGUGUGUGUUCAGGUGUGUGUUCAGGUGUGCGUAGUUGAAGCUAACUUUAUGGCGUUAAAACGACAGCUCAUGGUCCCGGAGCAUUGAUGAACUUCCUCCUCGGGGGCGGAGCGAGCAUUAAAAUUGGCAACUUGACAUUUUUUUCGGCCGACGGGCGAAAAAAUAAUAAAUAAAAAUAAAACCAGCUGCAGAUCAGGGGAAGAACAUUUCUUUACAUCAUCGAACAAAUAAAAAAA